CACUUAGCUUGUAAAUGCGCAUUGCCCUCUUUCUCACUCAUCUAUUCUCUCUCUCUCUCUCUCUCUCUGACACGCACACACACACACGCUCCUGGAUUUGCAGAAGACAGACAUCUAGGGCAUUUCUUGGCAUCCACAGGAAAAUCAUAUGGGAUUAAAAACUCACAGCAGAAUUGCUGAAAGCUGCUUCUCGAGGAUUACAAGUUCACCUUUUGCAUUUACGGCUGCCUGUUUACCAUCCAUGUGGUAACCUCUGGACAGUAAUCCAUUCAUUAUCCCCACUGAUUGAGUGCGGCAGCAGCGCAGUGGUAACUACUUCACUCAGCUGACGGCAGACAACAAAAGGAGGAAAAUUAUGAAUUCAGACAAUUUAACCUCCCAAAGCUUCCUCUCUGCGAUUCACAGCAACACCAGCAAUUUGUUCUCAGGGCUCCAGUUUGUUCAGUCCUUCAAGCCACUCAUCAUCCCCUGCUACUCGCUGGUGGUUUUUAUUGGUGUCAUUGGGAAUUACCUUCUCAUUUAUGUCAUCUGCAAGACAAAAAAAAUGCACAAUGUCACUAACUUUCUGGUAGGCAACCUGGCUUUCUCAGACAUGCUCAUGUGUGCCACCUGUGUGCCCCUGACCCUGGCCUAUGCCUUUGAGCCCCGGGGAUGGGUGUACGGGCGCUUCAUGUGCUACUUUGUUUUCCUGAUGCAACCUGUCACUGUGUUUGUGUCUGUCUUCACCCUGACUGUCAUAGCUGUGGACAGGUACUGUGCCAUGGUGUACCCAUUCCGCAGGAGGCUCACCAUCCCUAUCUGUGCUUACAUCCUGGCUGCUAUUUGGCUGCUGAGCUGCACUUUGGCUGCCCCAGCCUUGGUCCACACGUACCAUGCAGAGUUCCCAGAGCUGGACUUCUCCAUCUGCGAGGAGUUUUGGUUCCACAUGAAAAGAGAUCGCUUGGCUUAUGCCUACAGCACCCUCAUCAUCACCUACGUUCUGCCUUUGGCUGUCAUCUCUCUGUCCUACCUGAGGAUCUCAGUCAAGCUGAAGAACCGUGUAGUGCCAGGCAAUGUCACCCAGGGCCAAGCUGAGUGGGACCGUGCCAGGAGGAGGAAGACUUUUCGCUUGCUGGUCUUAGUGGUGGCAGCCUUUGGAGUCUGUUGGCUGCCCCUGCACAUCUUCAACAUGAUAAAGGACAUAGACAUCAGCCUGAUUGACAAGCAGUACUUCAACUUCAUCCAGCUGCUGUGCCACUGGUUUGCAAUGAUGUCUGCUUGCACCAAUGCCUUCCUCUAUGCCUGGCUCCAUGACAGCUUCAGGGGAGAGCUGAAAAAAAUGUUUGCCUGGAGGAAGAAGAAAAUUGGACCCGCUACAAACUGCAUUAUGGCCAGUGUGGUGCUGUAAAUGAGAGCUGGUGGGAGUGCAACUCCUUUGUACAUUUACAUUCAACAAGAUGCUUUACUGAAAGUCCCAGAGAGGAGCUGCAGAUGCACCUGAGGGAACAUCCAAAAGGAGAUGAUGGCUUAAAUCCCUACAUCUACAUUUCCUACAAUUCCUACAUUUCCAUGAGGUGCUGGAGACAAGCAGCAGCAAGGGGACGGCAAAGAGAAGCUUGCUGCUUUCCAGCGUGGAGAUGGGAUCUGCCUCUCCUGCUGAGCACAGUUCUGGGUUUCCAGAUAACAUGCUGGGAAGGCAGCUUGUGGCUCACAGCAGCAGGAGUGGCUUCAGUGCUGUGGUUUGUGAGAAGCUGGUGCUGGCUGUGGGGCUGAGGACCACUCAGUGCAGCUCAGGUUCUCCCAGAAGCAUCAGCCAGAAGGCAGCUGUGCUCUGGGGAAGUUGAUCAGCUCGAGGUGUUGUCUCUCUUUCUACGGCUUCUCAGCCACAGUGAGAUGUGUUUGUUUACUCCAUCACACCCACAAGACAGGUGAAAAUGUGAGAGCAAAUGACAUGGGAGCUGUGGUGCACUGUCCCAGGCUGCCACCACCCACAGUUGAGUUUGUGACCUGCUGCGUUCAGGAGGGGGAAGGAGAAGCAACAGACUGUGCUGUAAACCAACCCCAUCUUGGGCUCAUGGUGGCAUGGCAAGAAAGAAAGAAAGAAAUAAUAUUUUUAGAAUUCAAGCUAACAAUAACCAGCCAAAGAGUAAAUCUGAAAUCACCCAGAGGCUGUUCCUGUAUGAGUGUAGGAGCCACUCAGGCCUUCUUGUGAGUGUGGCCCCUCACUUGUGGCCUGUCAGCUCAGUGUGUUUGCUUUAUGGUGUCUUUCUUCCUUGCCCUCAGCCCCUCAGUGCAACAGGGGCAAGCCAGGCAAAAGCAGGAACAUUAGUGUGAGGUCCAUGCACACAGAGGAGUUGAAGGCAGAUGCACUUGUGAAAAGGUGUUUUUUAAUAAAAAUAAUUGAAAGGUUGGGGAUGGAGUUCCAAGGCAAGUGUUCAACACACCCACUCCUCAGCCACUGGAGGAAAUAAAAUGGAAAUAGUUCAGAUGUCAUGUGCAAGAGUUAGAUAUGAACUAAAUAGCCAGUAUACACUACAUACAAAGUAUUUCAAAUCAUUAACAAGACAAAAUUUUCACCAGUCAGCUUUGGAAUGAUUUCCUCUUGAUUAUUGGAUCAUUUUAAAAUUCAACAUCUGUUGUUAAUAUGCAUAGAUUAAAACAAGUAAAAAUAAAUUUGAAACCAUCUGAAGCACUAGACAGCAUAUGGCAGACCUGUUAAAUCUUAACAAGUCAAUAAUAUUAUCAUUGUGAAUCACUCCUUCAUUAAAACAUGUAUUAAUGUCUGCUGUAUAAAAUAAUGUUUAUUUGUAAAAGCCUUUUGUGCCACCCAUGCAAUUGUCACUUGUCACAGCUAAUUCUAGAUUGCUUUGAUAAUAUCUCCUCUUGGAAAAUUGUCACAGACUGAGGACAGAGGAAAUACAAAUCAUCACUUGUCAAAGUUCUGACAACAUCACAGACAAAGUGCAGGGAAGGUUUUGAAGACCUGUGUUUUGCUGUAGUGACAAAAAUAUAGGUUUCUUUGCUUUUAAAGCAUUGUGGAAAGCACUGUUCCAAACAGUUCCGACCCCCCAAAAACCUCAUAUACAGUGUCUGACAAGAUUUGCAAUGUUUCAUGGUUCUUAACAUUCUUUGUUUAUUGCUAAAUGAAGAAACUAUUCCCACGAAUUAGUUUGGAAUGGCACUGUUCACCUGUAAAUGCUGCCUAAAUGUCUGUAACGCCUGAAAAUAUUUAGGGAUGGGGGGGAGGAUAUAAAACAAGUGGGAAUUUAAACCCAGACUGCCUAGGCCUUGAAAUCAUUAAAUGGGUGGAUAAAGGUACCAGAACAUUGAAAAGUGGUCUUUCAAUUGUUGACUGGGAAGACUUACCUCCUCCCCACACAUAUUUUAAGGAAAGGCUCUUGAAAUUCAGGCUGCUAUUUUUCAUGCAGAGACAUCUCCCUUCAUCUCAGUAUGAGGCACACAAACUCAGAGAUGCAGCAUUUGAAGUGACAUUUUCCCUUUGCACCCUCAGCAGUGGCUGUGAGGUAGUUCAGCCCAGACAGGAGCAUAUUCUGCCCUUCAGCAUUACACAUUUUGGGUGAAACCUCUCCUGGAGCAUUGUACAAACAAUUGCCUUGGGAUGCUGUCUGUGCUGUCUGCAUUCACUCACUCAGUUUAAGUCUGAUUUGUGGGUUUAGUUCAGAUCUGCUUUCCAGAAGUGGUACAGUAACCUGGAACCCCAGGCUAAAAAUAUUCUCUAGACAUGUGAAAUUUAUUAUCUAGCAAAAAACUAAGCAACCAACCCCAGACUCUCAAGAUGUUAAAGGAAUGGAUCCACAUAAAAAAAUAAAUAGUUCUUAAAAUGCCUUGAUUCCUGGGGUUUAGAUCACUUUUGAGGGGGGUAGAAGGUGUUCUAAUGUUUGUUCAACAUUGAAGAAGGUAUGGCCAAGUGGAAUAUUUGGUACUUUUCUAAACAAUUAUGGGUUUGCUGAAUAAACAGAAAAGCACAAAAGGUUUGAUGGCAAGAAGAAAAUGCACAGGAUUUUUAGUGCUAAAAUGAUUUAGCUGGACGAGCUGAAUCUGCAACGUGAUGUUCAACAAACCGCUUAAUUUACACUGCUGAAAAUAGGGAUAAUUAGGCAAGCGCUUUCUCAUCCAGUUCUAACAUGAGGUGUUUAAAAGCACGGGUGGAAGGUGGCUUUGGAGAAGGCUGGGUUGACACAAGAAUAAUUUUAAAAUUUUUAACAGCUGUGAAUGAAAAUUAAACGAAGAGUGUCAGUACAGCUUUCUAAAUCUGAAGCUAUUUAUGUUCAAAUAUUGAGACUCAAUGAGGUGGAUAAAAGGUAAUGUGGAGCUACACUGAGUUUCAAAACUCACCUAUUUUAAAAUAGUUGCAGAAAUGGCAAGCCCUACAGAUUAAUCUGCAUUAGUAGAAGAAAAACAGAACACAAGGGAAGUUCCAACUUGUUUCCUGUUAUAUAAUGUUAUAUAAUGUUCCCAAGUUCCCUUUUUUUCUCCCCUAUAAAUCAGAAGCCCUCAGGAUGCAGCAGCUCCUCCCUCCAUACACUCUGUACAGUUUCCAGUAGGAGGAAGAAUCCAAGAUCUGAGAUAUCUCCUCCUAACAGCUCUGGAAGAUUGGAGUCCAUGUGGCACAAACCAUGAGGCAGAGCACAAGUACAUGUAAUUAUCAUCCUAAUGCAGAGCUAAAACUAAACCCUGAAUUGGAGCUAGUAGGUUUAUCAAGUACCAUCUCUUCACAAGAAGUUAACAUGAGUUUCCCUUCAACAUUCAGCAUUAAUAGAUUUGAUAAAAUUGCUGGGUCUUUAUUCACCAAAGUAUUCUUCUAAAUUAUCUCGUUUCCCUGGAACCUGCUAGUCAGCUCUUUUCUCACUAAUUCUUUCUUCAUUAGAGAAACAAGACCUGUUUUCCCUAGCCCCAGGAACCCUUACAUCUCAUUUCCCAUCAGAAGUCACCCUCAGAUGAUGAUGCUGAUGAACAUGGUGUCCUCCCACCACCAUCAGUUGCCCCCCAGCCCAGCAGGCAGAGCCUUUAAGCACACACAGAGCCCCCCUGUCAAAUACUGGCCGUGUUGCUGCAGGCAGGGAGUGUUUUAGAGAGAGUUCAGCUUAUUAAACAAGUUUGCCAAGGUUGUGUCAUCAGGAGAAGCAAUUACAUGAAGCCAGGUAGAGCCCACAUAUGCAAGACAGUGAUUAGAGUAACUAUCUGAUACUGAUAAAGUAGUCUAUUAAAACAGAGUAAAAAAGCCUUUCCUCAUCUCUUGGGAAAAUAAAUACAGAAAAGAAUAAUGAAAAUUGACACAAACUGUUUGUGGGUGCAUGAAGAAUUUGACAUUCCAUUUAAUCGUAGACCUCCCUUUUCUCCCAGAGUCCUGAAAUGCUGUCCACAGUUUGUUAUAAUUUUUUAAGAAAGUUUCAGAUUUCAUCCCCAUGGAUUUAUUAUUCCCUUUCUUGUUCCAAGUGGGUCUCUUGCUCCUGUUGAUAUUAUCUAAUCUAUUUCCUCUUGCACUGGCCACAUAAAACAGGCAUGUGAAGACCACCUCAGCUUCAGACCGUGUCAUGUGUCCUCUGCAAACCUGAGAUCUGCCUGAGCAAGGAGACAAAUCUAUACUAAUUACUUUCCUCCCUUUUGAAUGAGAAGGUAUCAAAACUCAUUCUGUGACUUUAGAUGGUGUUUAUUGUUUCCUCUCUAUCUAGGCCUAGAGCCCAUUCAUAAGGAGAACUGAGUUUGCUCUGAGAGGAUUUGCAGUUGAAAAAUCCAUUUUGACUUUCCUCAUUGCCUCGUUUUCUUUCAUUGCUCACAAAGAUUUUGUGUUUUCCAAGACUUUCUGGCAUUUGAAGGUAAGCUGACUGAUAGACAAAUCUCUGAUUAAUCUUUUCCUUCCAUUCUUAGAAACUGAAUAUAUUUGCUCCUGUCCAAUUUUCUGAUGCUUAUUUACAUCCCAUGCCUUCCCUAAGAUAACCCCAAGUGGUUCUGACAUUAAUUCUGUCAUAUUCUUCUGCAGCAUCUUGGAAUAAAAUGCACCAGGCUCAGGUAGUGUGAAACUUUCCAGUUCUCUAAUGCCUCCUUGUGCAUUUCCAUGGAGGCAGUUAUCCCAACAUGAAGGCCGUUAAAAAGGGGGCCACAGGCUCAUUAACAAAUAUGAACUUACAACAUGAUGUUGGCACAAUUCUGUUUAGUUUGCUUCACUGUAAGAAUCCUGUAUGUCUUUUAGUAGGUUGCAGUGGAUUUGAUAUGCAGAUGUUUUACUCAUUUGCAUAAUUAAAAUGAUUAAAACUGCCUUAAGACCCAGUGCUUUGCAAUUACGCUUUCAGAAGAGCUUUUCUCCUCCUGACUUUCAAGUGAACAAGUUUCCUUACACAUUUCCAAGUUAUUAACUAUGGAGCCACAGAUUCUGGCACUUGGGGCAUCACAGAUAGAAGACACCUCUUAAAAUACCCUAAAGUGCAGCUGUUUGCUGUGCUCUGAUGUACAGCAGUCCUUGAUUCUGUCCUCGGUGACCCGUGAGCUCUCAGAGCUCCGUGUUUGUGGAGUGAUGGAUGCUCUUCCACUGCCACCUCCUGGGCAUGACAUGGCGGACUUGAGAGACGUGGUAAUAAAAGCAUUAAAUGAACUUGAAAAGAUCCUAAAUCAAAGACAGGAAUCUAACUUUGGCCAUGAACUCUGACAUUUUAAGUCUUUCCCUUGACCCUUUGAGUCUGACCCCAAAGCACAGCAGUGGGGGCUGCUGCAGACAGAGACACCCUCAGCACCACAAGAUGAUGGAACUCUUCUGAAGAUUUGCCUAUAAAUCACAGAUUUUAAACAGUGUUUAAAAUAUUCAGCUUGACACUUGAAAAAGGUUACUCAUAACCCGCCAGAGUGGGGGGAAGGCUGGGGGUGGGGACUGCAUAAACAUGAACCACUCCAUCCACCACAGCAGAGCCCAGUUAGGUCUCUGAAGACAUGCACCUCUGACUUGGCCACCCUGGCUCUAAUGACAACUCACUUUUAAUUAAAACUGCUUUCGAAAGAAGAUACUUGAUUAAUGGCCUGGGAGACCUUGAAAAUGGAGUCAUUCCUGCAAGAGGAAGGUAAUUAACUUUUUUUAAUCAGUGGAAACUGACCUCAAGGUCUAGUGAAGGGAGUCAUCAGCAAACUCACUCCCACAGAUACAUAGAAGAGCCCUUCUACAUUACUGGAGAUCCCAGGGAAAGGACUGGGAACUGGCCUUGCUACACACCAGCCUGCAGAGCUGCUUCAUCAUCUCAUCCCACUGCCUGGCUGGGAGCACUCUGGGGCAGAGACACCUUGUGCUUUUUCCUCCCUCACCUCUGACCUGAGCAAAGCUCUGGCUCUUCUCAUCUCACCCUGUCUCAAAAAAGGAAAAAACCACCCAAAUUCCAAUCAGAGACAGCAUCAGUCUCCAGAGAGAACUCCUUAGCAGCCCAGACUCCCCUCACUGUCUUACAGGGAAGACCCUGGCAAACAAACUCGAACAUCAGAACUCAAGGCUUUCCCUUGGCAGAUGCCAAUGGUUCUGCAGCUCAAACCUCAACUUCUGCUUCUUGUUCCUCACCUGGCACAGGUGGGGAUGCCUGGCAAGGACAGUUAAUGGGGCCUUGUCUGAGAUUACAGUGAACUCUUGCCCUUCAUGGCCUGCAUCCUAAACCUGCUUUCUAAUUCCCUAAAGGAGACUGAUUUACGCUUUCAGUUUUAUCGCUGUUAGUUAAUGAUCCAUAACUGUCAAAAGGACAGCUAGAAGUAAAAUCCUUAUGUUAAGUAAAAGCCAAAAUCUGCAGAGGAGACUGUACCAGAGGGAGGGCACAGGGAACAUGCAGAGGUGUUUGCAGGUCCUGAGUGCUGUGACACUUGUGACUGCAUUGCUGCUUGGUGACAGCUCUACAGCAAGGCAGCUUGGGCUGCAAUCAGGCAGCACAGAGCAACUCUGAGAUCUGCAGCCCUCAGGGCAGUUCAGAGUCCCUCCCCAGCAGGGUCCACACCUGCAGAAGGAGGGCACGUUAGGCCUGGAAGGAUAAUGCAGGAGAGCUCCCAGUUCUAAGCCCCUCACUGCCUCACCCCUGAACACAGGCAUGCCAGGAGUGCUGCUGGCCCCGGAAGGCCUGGGACAGAGAAGGUGGACUUUAAUGCUGGUGUCUGACUUUCCAGCCAUGCUGCAAUUCUCUCCCUGCCAGCACUCCCUGCUGAAGUCUGCCUCACCCUUUGGAUGCAAUCACACAUCUUCGAGGAACCCAUUGCACACACCGUGAAAAUCCCUGCCAGCAGUCAGAAAUUGUACUGCUAUUGCUUUAAACCAUUUCAUCUACUGAGCUUCCAGGAGAUUGUAAGUUUUUACAUUUUUUCCCACUCGCUCCUCCUGCACACCUAGGAGCACUCCUCCCCAAGGAAAUCUGUGCUUUUCCAGCACAGCCCUGCCUGCUAGCAAGACACAAAAUAGAGCUGUGAAAAUCAGGACAGCACAAACCCAUAAAGCUCACUUUUAUCCUACAUAUUGAAUGUGAAAACCCCAAAAACUGAAGGAUCAUUAAAAUAAAAACAAGCAACAAACAAAAAACCAAAUCAAAACUCAUCCUACCAAUGGACUGCAUCCAUAACAAAACAGGACUUCUGUAUUCCACAAUGUGUUUUGUGUUUGUGCAGGACCUUAGGGUGCAGCCUGCUCUACCCCAGCAAGCCUCACCACAGGGAAAACUACGGGAGCCCCACACUGGUCCCCACCAGCACAUUCCAGCAAAAGGCAACGCUACCCUCUGGUGUUUCCCAGCAGAACAUCCAGUCUGCCCACUGCCCUCCAAAGCUGUUUCCUUCCAUUUCUUUUCAUCUGCUUUCAGUGCAAAUUCCCUUGUACAUCUCCAAGCAAAAACAAUUAAUGUAAUAUUUACAGCAGUGGAGGAAGAAGGUAACUCUACCAACUCAUUGUUUUGCGUCAGGAGGACACACAGAGACUUUGGGGCAAUCUUUGUUGGCCCUUCACACUUGAUGGAUUCAUAUUUACUACACUUCAUUUGGACUUUUUUGAAGAUUUAUUUGUAAUAUAUUUCCAGAACUGUAACCCUCGUCUGCCAGCACAGACAGGAACUGCAUUAAUGCAGGCUGUGAUUUGGUUCCUAGAGUUUAUUUACUGUUUCUGUAGUAAAUAACAGGUUACAUUGUUUGUGAUGCUUGAUGUUUCUGCCAAGCCUGUGUUCCUAUGUAACUAGAUAAGAGAAAAUGAUGUUAAAAUUCAGCAAUGUUGGCUCAUGAAGGUUGCCUCUCACAAGCUAUGGCAGAAAGUUCUGGGUUUUUUAUGCCCAUGCUAAAAGGUUUGUGAAGGUGCUGAAUCAAUGUUGCACUGGCUUCAUGCGCACCUCAGAGGGAAGGUUCAAGACUGGCCAAUUAUAGGAAAUGGACUUUUAGAAUGUGUCCAGCCCCUUAAUUACUGAUGGUCACUCAGUGAUUUCAGCUUUUGGGAAGUGAGUCUGUGCCAUUAGUGGAGGCAGACCCUUCCUUUGUCACAGUCCCUUCCAGCAGGGCUGGCUCUCGCAGAACAUGAGCGAUUUUGUUUAAUUGCUCUGUGAGGGGACAGGGCAUUAGGAAAGGGAUCAUCAUGCUCUGGCUCAAAGGUAUGUUUGAGUGUUGUGAUGCAUGAAUGUCACUCCAUUACAAGCACAUGUCAUGGCUUUUGUUCAGAAAAGAGUAUCCUUCAUUGCAAGAAAAUUGCUCCAUUUUCAUUAGUCCAGCAUGUUUAUUCAGCCUUUCUGGCCUGUAGCCAUGUCAGAGUCUGAUGCAGAAACCACUUUUCUCCACUGUUGAAAAGGUAUCAAAGCUCAUUCUGUGGUUGUAGAUGGUGUUUAUUGUUGUCUCCCUAUCCCUAUCCCUUUCAUAAGGAGAACUGAGUUUGCUCUGAGAGGACUUGCAGUUGAAAAAUCCAUUUUGACUUUCCUCAUUGCCUCGUUUUCUUUCAUUGCUCACAAAGAUUUUGUGUUUUCCAAGACUUUCUGGCAUUUGAAGGUAAGCUGACUGAUAGACAAAUCUCUGAUUAAUCUUUUCCUUCCAUUCUUAGAAACUGAAUAUAUUUGCUCCUGUCCAGUUUUUUGAUGCUUAUUUACAUCCCAUGCCUUCCCUAAGAUAACCCCAAGUGGUUCUGACAUUAAUUCUGUCAUAUUCUUCUGCAGCAUCUUGGAAUAAAAUGCACCAGGCUCAGGCAGGGUGAAACUUUCCAGUUCUCUGAGUGCGCUGAUGCCUCCCUGUGCAUUUCCAUGGGGAUUUCCUCCUGCUCUAGUGCUGCUGCUUGAAGUCUUUGCACUUGGUCUUUCCCCUUAGAAACACAAAACAAGACACAGACACCUUUGGGCUUCCUGGCCCUUUUUAAAUUUGCUGAUGACCCCUCCUUUUAAUUUGCUAGUGAAUCAAUAGCUUAUGUGGUCUCUUUCCCUUUGUUUCUCAAUGUAUAUUGAGAAUUGUUUCUUGCUGUUCCUGAUAUCACCUGUAAAAUCCUUUUCUGUACCUUCGCUUUUUAAAAUUUUGACUCUGCUUGCUUCUGCUGUUCUUUGAUAUUUGUGACAGAAGUGUCAUUUAGCCACUGCAUUCUGUAGGCACUUUCUCUGUUUUUAAAUUGAAGAACUUGUGACUUUUCCUCAUGUUUCCAAAUCUUCUCCAGAACUUGUCCUUUUAAUUGCAAUGUGCUGAGAAGAGAAGGUGUUGGUGUCCCUGUGCUGCUCAAUAAAAAGAGCUGGA
Molecule: RNA transcript, 10692 nt
Organism: Corvus hawaiiensis (hawaiian crow)
Lineage: Eukaryota; Metazoa; Chordata; Aves; Passeriformes; Corvidae
Gene: PRLHR
Gene name: prolactin releasing hormone receptor
Exons: 4
Source: RefSeq, a predicted model, not a curated record